RNAcentral lists this ribosomal RNA (982 nucleotides) under Vibrio cholerae. RNAcentral describes it as "partial 23S ribosomal RNA". It matches the Rfam family "Bacterial large subunit ribosomal RNA", at positions 185 to 1219 of the family's 2925-position model. Lineage: Bacteria; Pseudomonadati; Pseudomonadota; Gammaproteobacteria; Vibrionales; Vibrionaceae. The record is from RNAcentral.
CGGGGGAACUGAAACAUCUAAGUACCCCGAGGAGAAGAAAUCAACCGAGAUUCCGGUAGUAGCGGCGAGCGAACCUGGAUUAGCCCUUAAGCACUCGGUGAAGUAGGUGAACAAGCUGGAAAGCUUGGCGAUACAGGGUGAUAGCCCCGUAACCGACGCUUCAUCGAGCGUGAAAUCGAGUAGGGCGGGACACGUGAUAUCCUGUCUGAAUAUGGGGGGACCAUCCUCCAAGGCUAAAUACUCCUGACUGACCGAUAGUGAACCAGUACCGUGAGGGAAAGGCGAAAAGAACCCCUGUGAGGGGAGUGAAAUAGAACCUGAAACCGUGUACGUACAAGCAGUAGGAGCACCUUCGUGGUGUGACUGCGUACCUUUUGUAUAAUGGGUCAGCGACUUAUAUUCAGUGGCAAGGUUAACCGUAUAGGGGAGCCGUAGCGAAAGCGAGUCUUAACUGGGCGCUCAGUCUCUGGAUAUAGACCCGAAACCGGGUGAUCUAGCCAUGGGCAGGUUGAAGGUUGAGUAACAUCAACUGGAGGACCGAACCGACUAAUGUUGAAAAAUUAGCGGAUGACUUGUGGCUAGGGGUGAAAGGCCAAUCAAACUCGGAGAUAGCUGGUUCUCCCCGAAAGCUAUUUAGGUAGCGCCUCGGACGAAUACUACUGGGGGUAGAGCACUGUUAAGGCUAGGGGGUCAUCCCGACUUACCAACCCUUUGCAAACUCCGAAUACCAGUAAGUACUAUCCGGGAGACACACGGCGGGUGCUAACGUCCGUCGUGGAGAGGGAAACAACCCAGACCGCCAGCUAAGGUCCCAAAGUAUUGCUAAGUGGGAAACGAUGUGGGAAGGCUCAGACAGCUAGGAUGUUGGCUUAGAAGCAGCCAUCAUUUAAAGAAAGCGUAAUAGCUCACUAGUCGAGUCGGCCUGCGCGGAAGAUGUAACGGGGCUAAGCAAUACACCGAAGCUGCGGCAAUGUCUUUUAGA